GCGCUUGCUUUGGCAGCACAUAUACUAAAAUUGGAAGGAUACAGAGCAGAUUAGCAUGGCCCCUGUGCCAGGAUGACAUGCAAAUUUGUAAAGCUCUUAAAAAAAAUUU
Zalophus californianus (California sea lion) is the source of this 109-nucleotide small nuclear RNA. The record is from Ensembl. NCBI's taxonomy places the organism in Eukaryota, Metazoa, Chordata, Mammalia, Carnivora, Otariidae.